UACGUAGGGGCCUAGCGUUGUCCGGAAUCAUUGGGCGUAAAGAGCUCGUAGGCGGUUCGGCAAGUCACGUGUGAAAUCUCCACGCUUAACGUGGAGGCGCCACGUGAAACUGCCGUGACUCGAGUCCGGUAGGGGAGUGUGGAAUUCCCGGUGUAGCGGUGAAAUGCGUAGAUAUCGGGAGGAAUACCCGUGGCGAAGGCGGUCCACUGGGCAUCAACUGACGCUGAGGCGCGAAAGCGUGGGUAGCAAACAGG
This 254-nucleotide ribosomal RNA is filed under the name uncultured bacterium. RNAcentral's name for it is "partial 16S ribosomal RNA". It matches the Rfam family "Bacterial small subunit ribosomal RNA", at positions 524 to 776 of the family's 1533-position model. The record is from RNAcentral.